GAUGAACGCUGGCGGCGUGCUUAACACAUGCAAGUCGAACGAAGCACUUUAUUUGAUUUCCUUCGGGACUGAUUAUUUUGUGACUGAGUGGCGGACGGGUGAGUAACGCGUGGGUAACCUGCCUUGUACAGGGGGAUAACAGUUGGAAACGGCUGCUAAUACCGCAUAAGCGCACGGCAUCGCAAGAUGCAGUGUGAAAAACUCCGGUGGUAUAAGAUGGACCCGCGUUGGAUUAGCUAGUUGGUGAGGUAACGGCCCACCAAGGCGACGAUCCAUAGCCGACCUGAGAGGGUGACCGGCCACAUUGGGACUGAGACACGGCCCAAACUCCUACGGGAGGCAGCAGUGGGGAAUAUUGCACAAUGGGCGAAAGCCUGAUGCAGCGACGCCGCGUGAGCGAAGAAGUAUUUCGGUAUGUAAAGCUCUAUCAGCAGGGAAGAUAAUGACGGUACCUGACUAAGAAGCACCGGCUAAAUACGUG
This 481-nucleotide ribosomal RNA is filed under the name uncultured bacterium. Its description in RNAcentral is "partial 16S ribosomal RNA". It matches the Rfam family "Bacterial small subunit ribosomal RNA", at positions 28 to 507 of the family's 1533-position model. The record is from RNAcentral.